RNAcentral lists this ribosomal RNA (482 nucleotides) under uncultured bacterium. RNAcentral describes it as "bacterial SSU rRNA". It matches the Rfam family "Bacterial small subunit ribosomal RNA", at positions 29 to 506 of the family's 1533-position model. The record is from RNAcentral.
UUGAACGCUGGCGGAAUGCUUUACACAUGCAAGUCGAGCGGCAGCGCGGGGGCAACCCUGGCGGCGAGCGGCGAACGGGUGAGUAACAUAUCGGAACGUACCCCGUCGUGGGGGAUAACACAGCGAAAGUUGUGCUAAUACCGCAUACGACCUGAGGGUGAAAGCGGGGGACCGUAAGGCCUCGCGCGAUGGGAGCGGCCGAUAUCGGAUUAGCUAGUUGGUGAGGUAAAGGCUCACCAAGGCGACGAUCCGUAGCUGGUCUGAGAGGACGACCAGACACACUGGAACUGAGACACGGUCCAGACUCCUACGGGAGGCAGCAGUGGGGAAUUUUGGACAAUGGGGGCAACCCUGAUCCAGCCAUUCCGCGUGAGUGAAGAAGGCCUUCGGGUUGUAAAGCUCUUUCGGCAGGAACGAAACGGUGGUCCUUAAUACGGGCUACUAAUGACGGUACCUGAAGAAGAAGCACCGGCUAACUACGU